RNAcentral lists this ribosomal RNA (497 nucleotides) under uncultured bacterium. Its description in RNAcentral is "partial 16S ribosomal RNA". It matches the Rfam family "Bacterial small subunit ribosomal RNA", at positions 28 to 507 of the family's 1533-position model. The record is from RNAcentral.
GAUGAACGCUGGCGGCGUGCCUAAUACAUGCAAGUCGAGCGAACAGAUGAGGAGCUUGCUCCUCUGACGUUAGCGGCGGACGGGUGAGUAACACGUGGAUAACCUACCUAUAAGACUGAGAUAACUUCGGGAAACCGGAGCUAAUACCGGAUAAUAUAUUGAACCGCAUGGUUCAAUAGUGAAAGACGGUUUUGCUGUCACUUAUAGAUGGAUCCGCGCCGCAUUAGCUAGUUGGUAAGGUAACGGCUUACCAAGGCAACGAUGCGUAGCCGACCUGAGAGGGUGAUCGGCCACACUGGAACUGAGACACGGUCCAGACUCCUACGGGAGGCAGCAGUAGGGAAUCUUCCGCAAUGGGCGAAAGCUUGACGGAGCAACGCCGCGUGAGUGAUGAAGGUCUUCGGAUCGUAAAACUCUGUUAUUAGGGAAGAACAAAUGUGUAAGUAACUAUGCACGUCUUGACGGUACCUAAUCAGAAAGCCACGGCUAACUACGUG